AGAGUUUGAUCCUGGCUCAGGAUGAACGCUGGCGGCGUGCCUAACACAUGCAAGUCGAACGGAGUUUUAUGAAGUUUUCGGACGGAUUAAAACUUAGUGGCGGACGGGUGAGUAACGCGUGGGUAACCUGCCUCAUACAGGGGGAUAACAGUUGGAAACGACUGCUAAAACCGCAUAACAUUGCGACACCGCAUGGUGAUGCAAUUAAAUAUUUAUAGGUAUGAGAUGGGCCCGCGUCUGAUUAGCUAGUUGGUAGGGUAACGGCCUACCAAGGCGACGAUCAGUAGCCGGCUUGAGAGAGUGACCGGCCACAUUGGGACUGAGACACGGCCCAAACUCCUACGGGAGGCAGCAGUGGGGAAUAUUGCACAAUGGGGGAAACCCUGAUGCAGCGACGCCGCGUGAGUGAAGAAGUAUUUCGGUAUGUAAAGCUCUAUCAGCAGGGAAGAAAAUGACGGUACCUGACUAAGAAGCCCCGGCUAACUACGUGCCAGCAGCCGCGGUAAUACGUAGGGGGCAAGCGUUAUCCGGAUUUACUGGGUGUAAAGGGAGCGUAGGUGGUUCGGCAAGUCAGAUGUGAAAGCCCGGGGCUCAACCCCGGGACUGCAUUUGAAACUGUCGGACUAGAGUGCAGGAGAGGUAAGUGGAAUUCCUAGUGUAGCGGUGAAAUGCGUAGAUAUUAGGAGGAACACCAGUGGCGAAGGCGGCUUACUGGACUGUAACUGACACUGAGGCUCGAAAGCGUGGGGAGCGAACAGGAUUAGAUACCCUGGUAGUCCACGCUGUAAACGAUGAAUACU
RNAcentral lists this ribosomal RNA (800 nucleotides) under uncultured bacterium. RNAcentral's name for it is "bacterial SSU rRNA". It matches the Rfam family "Bacterial small subunit ribosomal RNA", at positions 8 to 817 of the family's 1533-position model. The record is from RNAcentral.